Mus musculus (house mouse) is the source of this 8886-nucleotide long non-coding RNA. RefSeq annotates it as predicted gene, 42344. The record is from RefSeq and is a predicted model, not a curated record. NCBI's taxonomy places the organism in Eukaryota, Metazoa, Chordata, Mammalia, Rodentia, Muridae. The transcript is spliced from 3 exons.
UUUUAUUUAACAACAUUUAUUUCCUAUUUUGUGGUAUUUUAAAAAUGUUAUUGCUUAUUUCAUUACUGUUGUUUUUCUGACAGGGUAGCCUUGAACUCACAGAGAUCUGCCUGUCUCUAGCUCCCCAAGUGCUGGGAUAUGUGUCAGCACAUUUGAGUAUUGUUAUGAUUACGAUUAUUUUAUUUAUUUACAAUCCAGCCAGUUGCCCUCCUGGUCUCCUCCCUCACAGUUCCCCAUCCCAUUCCUUCUCUCCUCUGUCUCUGAGAGGAUGCUCCGCCACACCCAGGUCUCCCCCCUCCCUGGGGCCUCAAGUCUCUCGAGGAUUAGAUGCAUCUUCUUCCAUUGAAUAGAAUACUUUUGUUCAUUCUUUGACUAUCUAUCUAUCUAUCUAUCUAUCUAUCUAUCUAUCUAUCUAUCUAUCUAUCUAUCUAUCUAUCUAUCUAUCUAACAUGUCUCCAUUGCCCCUUCAUGUCCUCUGGUUUCCUUUGUUAAUAACCUACUACCUCCAGUUGGCGCUGUUGGUUAGAAUGUCACCUGAUUGUACUGACUUGAUCUUGUGACAGAAACCACAGCUACAUGUUCAUGAGAGCCAUGCCCAUGUCCUGAAGACUGCCUUCCACAACACUCCUCCUCACCCUCCAGUUCUGACACUCUUUCAGCCCCUCUUCCAGAAUAGUAGUGCCUGAGCUUUGGGUAGGAAUUAGUACAGAUGACAUCUUUAGGUCUGACUACUCAACAGAUAAAUAUUCUCAGCACAGUUGUGAAUCUCUGCAUUAACUGCUAACUGCAACAGAGAGGAGCUUUCCUGGCCAAAGUUGAAGGCAGUACUAAUCUCUGAAUGUGAGCAUAACUGUUUCGUAGGUGGUUUAACAACAUGUCCAAAACAACAACAACAACAACAACAACAACAACAGCAACAACAACAACACAGCAGUAGAGGGUUUCUCCCAGAGCUGGUGACCUCCUAGGCCAUUGGCUUUUGACCAGGUUAAUGGUAUGAGACAUGAAUUUCUUCCUGUGGAAUAGGCCUCAGAUGAAUCUAAAAGCCCAUAACCUUGAUGCCAUUACUAUAGCCCUGGGCACAUCUAUCCUGGCAGGUCAGUCUAGCAGCCUCACUAGCUAGCCAGCAGGAAGAAACUUUUUUUAAAUUAAUUUAUUUACAUCAAACAUUGUACCUCCUCCUGAUCCUCCCUCACAGAGACCCUCCCCACAUGAUGACUGUGGUACCUGUUCCCUAACAGGGUUCCCGUGUCUGGCCUCAGUGAGAGACGAUGCGCCUACCCUGGCAGGGAGAAACUUUUAAAGUCAAUUCCAGUUUGAUUUCCCUAUGACCUGCAAAGUAUGUGGUGUCUUCAGCAAUAGGGUUUUUUGCUGUCUAACUGUGGAGGACAACCAGGAGCUCUGACAACAGCUUCUGUUAUGAGUGUUUCUCGGUCUCCUUGACCAAUGACUCCUAAAGGGAUAUCCCACACCUAGUACUGAUAUUUUCAUUUAAGAACUUAUGUCUUCUUUGGGAAUCAUUGUUCCUCUAUGUAGGAACUUUAUGUUGCACCUCCAACUACUUUUAAAUUAUAUUUUUAAUUAGUUUACAAAGUAUGGAUUCCUAUAGAGGGUUUUCAUAUAUUUUUACUUUUGAUUAACCUACCCUCACCUUCUUCUCCCCCAUACACCCCUUGUCCCUGGUUAAACCAUUAACUCUCAGUAUUCCACCCUUCACCCCAUAGCCCUGCCAUCUUCAUAUUAUAUGUGUUCUAUUAUUCCCUUUUCCCUUAAGUCCUCUUUCCCUCUCAAGAGUCCUUUUUUGCUUCCUGGGCUUAGAGCUACUCCACAUUUACACACAAAUCUCAAAUUUUGAACUAGGAUCUACAUCUGAGUGGGAAUCUGUGACAUUUGUCUUUCUGGACCCGGGGUGCCUCACCUUUGAUCUGUUUUCCAAAGAUUUCAUUUUUCCUCAUAGAUAAAUAAAAGCCCAUUGUGUUUAUUUUGGUUUCCCACUCAUUGGCUCAUGGAUAUCUACGUUGAUUCCAUUCCCUAGCUAUUGCAAGCAGAGCGGUAAUGAGCCUGAUGAGUAAGUUUCUCCCUCGGAAGACUGGAGCGUUUGGGAUACAUGCCCAGGAGUAUCACGCCUGGGUCAUAUGGAAGUUCUAUUUUUAGCUUUUUGAGACACAUCCAGAUUGGUUUCCAUAGUGGUUGCCCCAGCAUUUGUUGUUAUUUGUUUUCUUGAUGAUAGGCGUUCUGACUGGGGUGAGAUGGAAUCUCAGUGUGGUUUCAGUUUGAUUUCUCUGAUGGCCAACGAUGUUGAACACUUUUAAAAAUGAUUUUUAACCAGCUAUAUUUUUGGUGUUGUUCAACUCCAUGGCCCAUUUUUAUCAUUUUGCUUUGCUUUGUUUUCUUGCUGUUUAUUUUCUUACAUUCUUGGUAUGACUUAGAGACUGAUGCUUGGCCAGAUUUGUAGUCGGCAAGUAUUUUCUCCCAUUCUAUAGGGUGCUUCUUCAUUUGACUGACAACUCUUUUUGUAUGUAUGCUUAGGACUCAUCUGAUUUUCUUCACUUUUACACAGAUCAGGGACCAAACCUAGGGAGUUGUGCCACUCACAAUAGGCUGGUUCUUCUGAUAUCAAUUAAUGUAAUUAAGACAACCCCCCCCACCACAGAAUACUCACAGGCCAACCUGUUCUAGACAGUCCUAUACUGAGACUCUCCUUAGGUAAUUCUAGGUUGUAUCCAGUUGAAAAUGAGAACUAUCCAUCUUGACAAGCAAAUGCUCUCACCUCUCCCAGUGCCCUCUGACCUUCUGUCACUGUCUCCCAUUGGUGGAGGUUAACAGGAAGUCAGGGUCAGGUGCCCAACUGAUACAAGGUGUGGAAGCCAGUCACAUUUAUCACAUGAGACAGAUCAUGGAGAUCAGCUAGGCCCAUGGAUAGAGCAGGUUUGCUCAGAAGGCAAAUGGACCACGUCCCAAACCUCCUUGUCCCCCACCACAGACCAUUCUCCAUGGAGCAGCCUGAGGAUACCAUGUGCUUUCAAUGGGAAGGCAGGACAAAGCAGAGCCACAAGGUGGCCAGAACCUGGACUUAUGCCACUCUAACUAGAGGAAGGCUGCCAGCUAAGCAGGAGAAGAGAAGUUGCAAACCACAUUUAUGUUGCAAACCACAUUUAUGUUGGAUUUACUACAUAUGUAGGUUUUUACAUAGCAACCCGACUCUGCAUACCCACAGAACAGGGCAGCACGGUUUCUUCUCUACAGCAUUGUUGGGAGACUUAAAUCAGGUAGAACUUGCUUCAAACGAUGCUUUCAAGCAUCACGAAUUCCCAAGCAAUGGCAGCAAUUAUUAUUAUUGCUUAGUAUGUGAAAGGAAUUCAAAAUCAUAACAUCUUUUCUUUUCUUUUCAUGUGUAUGUGUGGCUUGCAUGCACAGGUGUACACGUGUGGGUGUACAUGGUGUGUGUGUGUGGAGGUGCAUGUGUGUGCACCCACAUGGAGAGGUUUAAGGUUAACAUUGGGAAUCUCCCUAGAUUGCUUUAGGAGAACAGACAAACUGUGAGGAAUAUAUACAGAAGGUCAGCGUCCCCACCUCCAGCCCCAUCCCAGAGGCUUCUGACAGUGUGGUCUCUAGGGGUGGAGCUUAUGCCAGACUUCCCACAAGAAUUCACAGUGUGGCAUUCGGACCCCAAGAAGGCCUUUAGGGACACUGCAUCCAGGCCAGCACCUGAGUCUAUCCUGUAAGACAGAAUAGAGGUAAUCCUGCUUUCAAUAGGCUCAGCCUCUUCUGCUUUUGUGUACUGGCUUUUCUGGUUAUCCCGGGGACAGGACUCAGGUCAGAGAGAGGCUUCUCGAGAAUGUGGAGAGGAGAGGUAGGCCCAGCCUCUCCAGUACAGUAGUGAACCCAGCCUUCCCAGUGCCACUACAAAAUCACCAGGUAUGUGCCUGAGCCCAGUGGCCACUGCCCACCCCUGGGUGGCUCCCUACCCACAAGGCCAUGGCUUCUCCAUCAGCUAUCAGAAGGAGCAGGAGGUGCUUUGAGAUUCAGAAGAGGUAAUCAGACGGCCUGUAUUGCCAGUGUGGCUAUCAAGUAGCAGCAGAUACCUAGCCAUAAGCCUAUGACCAGGCCAGGGCAGGGUGUUCCCUGCUUUGAAGGAUUGUCCCCCAAGCCCCACCCCCAUGCAGAACAGACCAUUCUCAACUUUGCAGUGUUGCAACCAGAUGCAAGCUGCUGGCCUGGCUGGCCCAGUGGAAUGUACUGCUGGCUCUCUCUCUCUCUCUCUCUCUCUCUCUCUCUCUCUCUCUCUCUCUCUCUCUCUCUCUCUCUCAGGGAGUCUGGAUCCUGCCCCUUGGGGAGAGGCUGAGCUCACCAGCUUUCUCCAUUCCUCUUCUUGAUUGGCACUUUAAUGAGGGCAGAAGGGGCUGACCCCCUGCCAAGGGGCCAGUUCAUGCCCCGUUUAUCUCACAGCCCGAGUCAGACUAAAACAACACUGCAGGCCUAGCCGCCAGGAGCCUGGGGGCCUGCCGCCCCCACCCUGGGUGAUGGAUUGAGUGACCACAGUGAGCUGGCAGCUGAAGUGUGUGGUGGCCGCACCUUCCUGUCAGUGUGCAACAAAGGAGCCUGGCCCCACCGGCUGGCUGGCCAAACCGCUCUCCUCCUUGGGGCAGCUCCAGGGGCUUGGCCUUCCUCCCUGCUUCCUGAAUACCAGUGCCAAACUUCUAGAGACAGGUCUAGGGACUAGCCUGAUAUACUCUGGAACCAUUCUGGGGUCCUGGGGGGGCAAUGCCUGGAAUGAGGCCUUCUGAGGUUUCAAGCCUGGCUGACCAGAAAGUACAUUUUUUUGGGUUCCAAGUGUCAGGGUCCAAGAUGGACUUUUCUCAGCGGAUUCCCCAUCUCAUGCACAUCUGACCAGCUCUGAGCCCACUCAUGGGGGAGUCCAGCCAGGCCAUCUGUUUGCUGUGCAGCUGUGAGUGAAUUUAUCAACCUUGCUGAACCUUUGAGUCUUUUUCCCUAAAAGGCUUAUAUUUGUCUCCCUCAUUGGGUUUUUAUGAGAAUGAAGAUUAGGCAAAGCCAGCACUUCUAUAAGCCAGGUCUCAGGGGCUCAGUUUACCUGAUUGUUAAGAACUACCUCUCAAGUAUACACACACACACACACACACACACACACACACACACACACACACACACACACACACACACAAAGUGCUAUGGCACAAAUGUGGAGCUCAGAGAACAACUUACAGAGGUCACUUCUCUCUAUCUACAACAUGGGUUCCAGGGGAUCAAACUUGGGUCGUCAGGGUUGGCAGUAGACACUGUCACUUCCUGAGCCAUCUUGCUGGCUCCUUUGAUUGACUUUCUGAGGAGGUACCAGGGACAAACCCAACAUCUCAAUCAGGAGUUGUCUCACUCUCUCCACCGGCAUUCUAUCCUAUGGCUUCCGGAUGAAGCUCACUUUAUACAUUAGCCUCAAGGCUAAUUUAAUUUACCCAGUGUAGUGCAGAGUAGAGACAACAAUUCUAACAAGACGUGGCUCUGAAGACCACAAAGCUAUUCCCAAGACCCUGGGUAACAGACUGGAAUUUCCCACUGGGAAAAAGUGGACAACCCCAGAGGCCCCCACAGUCAAGGAGCUGGAGCAAGGUUUGUGACAUUCUUCUGGGCCACCUGGGUGAGUCAAGAUGCCAGCCUUUCUCAUGGCUCUGCUGAUGGCAUCAAGUGAACUUGAACUCUAAGCUAUUCCCCAGACCCCACAGAAAGCAGGAGCCACAGAGGGAAACACCCCACCCCACCCUGCCUUCAGCAAAGGGGCAUUGCCGUUGUAAAUCCUCUGCCUCAAGGCUCCCUGGGGCUUUGCACCAAGAAUAGACAGUCUCAAAAGUCCCAGCUGUUUGGUUCCUUGGAACUUCAUCUAUAAACCCAGGCCUCCCUGGAGAGGGGAGGGAACCAUUCUCCACUUGGAGGAGAUAUCACCUCUCUGUGAACUCCCAAAGGGCAGGAGGCCAAGUCCCAGCCAAGGUCAGAGGAAGUGACACGACCAUAAUAGGACUUCAUGUGGACCUUCUGGUUCUUCUUGCAGGCCCUCCAAAUCAGGGCUCUGUCCUUCAGCAAUAAUACCCUCCACACUGGACAAAAGGUGACAUUCUUGAACAAGGCAAGGUAGAUGGGGCCUUGGAAGGUGGGUUGAACCUCAAACUCUUAGCCAACAGACAUAAAUAGACUUUGGACCUUUAGUUAGGCCCAUGAGGCCGAGUGCCCAGGCUCAAGUCUGUGGAGCGGCCUUAAAACUUUCCCAGAGUCGUUUCUUCCUGUCUGUCAGCCCCAACUCAGCCUCCAGCACCCUUUUGCAGUGGUAUCGUCAGUAAAGCUUUCCCUCACUGAUCCUGCUCUCAGAGGGACCCCUCACCCCACUAGACAGAAUAAACUAUGUUCUAUUCUGGGUCAGGCUCUGCUGAACUCCACAAGCCAGUCCAAAAAGAUGCCACAUGUUAAUGUCAGGCUGUAAUAAGCCAGGCAGGCAGAGCUGUCUCUGCUUGCCUGGGGUCCAAACAGUCAGCCAGGCAUGUAUCUGACGCUUGCUAUUGCUAUGUCCUUACAGAAUGUCACCCCUGCUGUAUGAACACACUCCACCAGCCUGUGUCCAGGGACUGUCAUCUGAACAGAGAACUUUCUGAAUGGGCCAGGAGGAUGCUCUUGGAUGCUAUGAGAGCGUGUGGUGAGUGUGUCCGUGAUGUAGUGCAUGUUUUGGUGGCCAGAGGACAACUUGUGGGAGCUGGUUUUCUUUCUAUCAUGUAAGAUCUACAGACUGAACUCUGGCAGUCAGCCUUGAUAGCCACCGCCUCACCCAAGUCAUCCUGUCGGCCCAGUCCUUGUUCUCUCACACAUCUGAAAGGAAGUUGGGUGCAGUCCUGGCAGUAGUCACCCUUCUUCAUCCAGCCUGUCGCAAGCUGAGACACCACCCUAGGUCCCUUCAUUAUUGACAGAACCCAAGUCGCACAGACAUCACUCUGCCGCUGUGGCCAGCAUGGCUAGCCCAGUACUCGCCUUCUGUGACAGUGAGUCUUUGUUGCCAGCUUGACACAACUGGGAAGAGAGAACCUCAGCUAAGGAGGUCUCCAUCAGAUUGGCCUGUGGCUAUCUCUGUGGAGCAUUUUCUUGAUUGCUAAUUGGUGUGAGAGGGCCUACAGCACUGUGGGCAAUGCCAUCCAGGGCCUGGGCUGUACAAGGAAGGUAAACCUGAGCUGGGGGGCAGUGUUCCUCUGUCCUCACUGCUUUAACCCCUGCUUGAGCCCCUGCCAUGACUCCCUCAAUGAUGGACUGCGACCUGGAAGUGUGAGUCAAAUGAACCUUUUCCUCCCCAAAUUGAUUUUCGUCAUGGUGUUUCCCACAGUAAUGAGCGAACUAGGACACCUUCCUGUCUCAAUUUCAUGCUCCCAUUGUGAUCUGUCUGGCAGCUAUGACAGUCACACAUUCCUAGCCACCAGUAGAAUAAAGAUACAUGAAGGACAAAUUGUUCUGUCCCUGCCACUUCUGAGCCUCAGAGGCCUGUCCUCAGCACUGGGCUCUGGCUUGUGGGUGUAUAGAUGCCUGUGGUUAGAGCACAGCACGUAGUAAUGGGGACCUCACAGACAUGGGAUACACAUCCCUCUGUAGCCAAUAAGUGAUAUAGAGAAUGUUUUCUCUGUGUUUAUAUAUAUACUGUAUAUUUAUUGUUUGAAGGCCCAUAGGUCAACACUGGGUGUUGUCUUAUGACAUUGGGUUUGCUUGCUGUGAAGAGACACCAUGACUACAGCUACUUUUAUAAAGAAAACAAUUCACUGGGACUGGCUUACAGUUCAGAGGUUUAGUCCAUUAUCACAAUGGUGGGAAACAUGGCAGCGUGCAGGUAGACAUGGUAGCUGAGAGUUGAACAUCCGUAUGGGAAGGCAGCAAGAAGUAAGUGCAACACUGGGCCUUGCUUGAGCUUCUGAAAACCUCAAAGCCCCCUUCAGUGACACACUUCCUCCAAUAAAGCCACACCUCCUAAUAGUACCACUCCCUAUGGGCCUGUGGGGGCCAUUUUCAUCCAAUCACUUUGCACUAUAUUUUUAAGACAAGGGUUUCUCACCUAACCAGAAGUAUAUUGAUUUGGCUAGGCUGGCCAGCCAGGGAGCCCCAGAGGUUCUCCAGUCUCAGAUUUUUCAUCACUGGGAUUAACAGAUAAGCCACUGCAGACUGAGGUCCUCAUGCUGGCCCAGCGUGCACUUUGCCCACCAAGCCAUCUCCUAAGUCCCCUAAAAUGGGCUUUUGAGACAAGGAUAGCUUUGAACUCACAAUUCUUCUGCAGGAAUUAAAAGCACGCACCGCCACACCUAGCCAGUCAUUCCUUUUAAUAACUGCCUGUCAGUCCUAGUCUGGGUGAAUUGAGAUUUCUGCUUCUUUAAUUUGCAGUGAGGUAGGAGUUAUAGCCAUUCCUAAACACAGGGCUCAGGCAGUGUCACAUGGAUGGCUGUCAUUCAGAUCACCACACCAAAUAUUCUGAGCCUUAAAGACUUCCCUCCCCCGCCACCCAACCAGGCCAAUCCCAAAGAUAAUUACUAGACCUAUUUUGAACUUCCUUUGAAUUGAAUCAUGCCAAGCGAAGUCUUUUGUCUCUGUUCCCUUUUGCUCAAUAUUAUGUUUGUGAGAGUUACUCAUAUUGAUGUGUAUGGCAACAACCCAUUUGUUUUCAGUGUUGUAUAAUGUUCCACUGGAGGAAUCUUAACUAGAUAGAAAUGUACAUAGCUUCCAGUGUCCUACUUUUAAUAAACAAAAUGUGGUCAUAACAUUAUUUUUGCAAAUCUCUGUGUAUGCCUGAAUGUUUAUCUAUAGAGACUCCACAUGUCUAUUUGUUGGCAAUAAUUAAAGGUUUCUUUCUAUGCUUUG